RNAcentral lists this ribosomal RNA (472 nucleotides) under uncultured bacterium. Its description in RNAcentral is "partial 16S ribosomal RNA". It matches the Rfam family "Bacterial small subunit ribosomal RNA", at positions 28 to 507 of the family's 1533-position model. The record is from RNAcentral.
GACGAACGCUGGCGGCGUGCUUAACACAUGCAAGUCGAGCGGAAAGGCCCUUCGGGGUACUCGAGCGGCGAACGGGUGAGUAACACGUGAGUAAUCUGCCCUUGGCUUUGGGAUAACUACUGGAAACGGUGGCUAAUACCGGAUACGACAACCGUCUGCAUGGGCUGGUUGUGGAAAGUUUUUUCGGCCAGGGAUGUGCUCGCGGCCUAUCAGCUUGUUGGUGGGGUAAUGGCCUACCAAGGCUUCGACGGGUAGCCGGCCUGAGAGGGUGACCGGCCACACUGGGACUGAGACACGGCCCAGACUCCUACGGGAGGCAGCAGUGGGGAAUAUUGGACAAUGGGCGGAAGCCUGAUCCAGCAACGCCGCGUGAGGGAUGACGGCCUUCGGGUUGUAAACCUCUUUCAGUACCGACGAAGCGCCGAUGAUGGUGGUGACGGUAGGUGCAGAAGAAGCACCGGCCAACUACGUG